AACGCACGAGACCUGCGGACCUGCGGAAGGAUCAUUAAUGAGAAGCUGCCCCUCGUGGGUAGACCUCCCACCCUCUGUGAACUUACCUUUGUUGCUUUGGCAGGCCCGUCCUCUGGACCGCCGGCUUCGGCUGGCCCGUGCCUGCCAGAGGAUUCCAAACCCUGUCUGUUAGUGUUGUCUGAGUCUAUAUGAAAUCGUUAAAACUUUUAGCAACGGAUCUCUAGAUCGGAAGAGCACACG
Molecule: unclassified non-coding RNA, 240 nt
Filed under: soil metagenome
Description: partial contains 5.8S ribosomal RNA, internal transcribed spacer 2, and large subunit ribosomal RNA
Source: RNAcentral